This 516-nucleotide ribosomal RNA is filed under the name uncultured bacterium. Its description in RNAcentral is "bacterial SSU rRNA". It matches the Rfam family "Bacterial small subunit ribosomal RNA", at positions 700 to 1212 of the family's 1533-position model. The record is from RNAcentral.
GGAGGAACACCGGUGGCGAAGGCGACUUUCUGGCCCUAUACUGACGCUGAGACGCGAGAGCGUGGGUAGCAAACAGGAUUAGAUACCCUGGUAGUCCACGCUGUAAACGAUGUUCACUAGGUGUUGGGGGUAUUGACCCUCUCAGUGCCGAAGCUAACGCAUUAAGUGAACCGCCUGGGGAGUACGGUCGCAAGAUUAAAACUCAAAGGAAUUAACGGGGGCCCGCACAAGCGGUGGAGCAUGUGGUUUAAUUCGAUGCAACGCGAAGAAGCUUACCUAGGCUUGACAUCCCUGGAAUUCUGUGGAAACACAGAAGUGCCUUUCGGGGAACCAGGAGACAGGUGCUGCAUGGCUGUCGUCAGCUCGUGUCGUGAGAUGUUGGGUUAAGCCCCGCAACGAGCGCAAACCCUAUCUUUAAUUGCCAGCAUUCAGUUUGGGCACUUUAACAGAGACUGCCGGUGUUAAACCGGAGGAAGGUGGGGAUGACGGUCAGUCCUCAUGGCCUUUAUGCUUAGG